This 303-nucleotide ribosomal RNA is filed under the name uncultured bacterium. Its description in RNAcentral is "partial 16S ribosomal RNA". It matches the Rfam family "Bacterial small subunit ribosomal RNA", at positions 507 to 807 of the family's 1533-position model. The record is from RNAcentral.
AGCAGUAGCCGCGGUAAUGCGUAGGGUGCGAGCGUUAAUCGGAAUUACUGGGCGUAAAGCGUGCGCAGGCGGUUUUGUAAGACAGGCGUGAAAUCCCCGGGCUCAACCUGGGAAUGGCGCUUGUGACUGCGAAGCUAGAGUGCGGCAGAGGGGGAUGGAAUUCCGCGUGUAGCAGUGAAAUGCGUAGAUAUGCGGAGGAACACCGAUGGCGAAGGCAAUCCCCUGGGCCUGCACUGACGCUCAUGCACGAAAGCGUGGGGAGCAAACAGGAUUAGAUACCCGUGUAGUCCCUGUCUCUUAUAC